GAAAAGGGACAAUGGAGAAGUGGGCAGAAGGUUGACAAAGAUGUUCUGGAAGCGAUCAAUAGCUUUUGAACUCUCUCCGUGCACAAUUAAGUUGCCUCGGGGGUCGUGUGUGCAUUGUAUAUAGUGAAAGGAUUUAAUGCUAACAAAUCACUGUCAAUCAAAGAUUAGCCAACCAUCUCUGCCAAAACUAUGGAUGGUGAAUCGAAGAUGCUUUUACAGCUGAAAGGGAUCCUGAAACAGCCUGAAAGCUGACUGUGCAAGUUCACGGGGAAAAUGUGAGUGAGCCAGAUAUAUCAUGAUUUCUUACCAGGUGUCUCUGGCCCUUGGAUUUAGUCUGGGGCAAUAACUAUUCCCCCACUCUUUUUCUGGAUUCUUCUGCCCUCCCAUUAAGAUUUAGGUGUCACCUGAGUACCUCCUGUUUCUAGAGGUCUCCCAGCCCCUGGGCUCUCCAGGGCCAGCUUUUAUCUCUACACUUUCUGCAUUGACCUGAGCUGAAUUAUGCGCUACCUACCAGCAGCUGUGAAUUCCUUAAUGGUGGAGACAACGCAGACUGCUUGCAUCUAUACAAAUGUAUUCAUCUGCCCCAAUUUCUGGUUUUCAUAUGCUUUCAGAUUAGAUGAAGGCAGCAUGGGAAGGAAGCCUAUUGUGGUGACCACUUGGAAAAUUGGUGGAGUUAAUCUGGAGACAUUUCCUAGAGGAAGUGACUCCACAGGAAAAAGGAUCUUUUCAGUAUCACCACAUCAAAGAUGUAGUAGAUGGAAAAGAGAAUGUAGGUCUUUUUGUAUAGAUCUGGUAAGCAAGCACAGGUACCUAGGAUGGAGCUAUAUUUAUGGUUUUUAAUCCCCACCUCUCAGUCACAAAUAAAAAUAGAAGUAGAAGUACAGACACAACUGCCCCUGCCCUGAUACUCCCUCAGUUUCAUAGCAGAGAUUUCUUACUCCAUCUAUUUCAUCUUUCAGAAUUUCUUUUGUUUUUCCUGAUAUUUUUUUUUAAUCCUGGGAAUCUGGUUUUCAAAGAUUGCCCAUGGUGCCCUCAUUACCAAAACUAGGAAUUUUCCAGUUUUGAUGAUAAAAGUCAUACACUCACUCUAUUUGCACCUUCUCCUCUGCCUAGCACAGCUAAAUUCUUUAUGAACAUCACAUUUAAUGACCACAAGAAGCAUCUUGUAAUAGUAUUUAUCACAGUUUUAAAUUUAAUUUACAGUAUUUAAUGUUUGCUAGUGUCAGAACAAAACAGGGACACAGACAAUAAUUAGUGACGGAUAGACAAGGACAGAAUAUUAUCCUCUGAUGCUGCAGCCCAGGCUGGGAGAACACAAGGUGAUACAGCUAACAAGCAGAGGAGGAGGGUAUGGAUUCUGUGCUGUUUGGUGCCAUAGCUCACCAGUGCUUAAUCUAGAUUAUUACAUCAGUCCUUAUGCUUGCCUUCCCUGAGGCCAUUCCACUAGUUGAAACUGAGGGUAAGGGCCAAUUCCAAGUUGACUUGAUGCCAAACGCUACGCUUAAACUCUCCGCCACGCACUCCUUCACCUCCUCUAUAAAAUUCUUUUUUUUUAAAUAUUUUAUUUUUUUUAGUUUUCAGCGGACAUGAGAUGUCUGUAUGUGGUGCUGAGGAUCAAAUCCGGGCCGCACGCAUGCCAGGCGAGCGCGGUACCGCUUGAGCCACAUCCCCAGCCCAAUAUCAAAUUCUUUCUUCUUUUGAAUUUUCUGUCAUAAUUUUUAUGAUUCUGAUCCCUUCCCCCCCUCAUUUUUUUUUAAUAAUUGAAGUUUUUCUUUUCUAGUCAUUUGUGCCAUUAUCAUUACUCUGUCACUUCUUAUGACCACUGUUUAGCUACUCAACUGUCACACUGGUUUUUGUUGUUGGUGGUGUUGUUUUUGAUGUGUGAUUUUAAUCUCUUACUCUCUAAUCUGUUUCUCCUUACAACCCCCAAAAGUAUCUUCCUAAAAAUUCUUUUACCAAUACAGUGAACAUUCUUGGUUGUCUUUACAGAGCCCUUAAUAGAUCCCUAGUUAUGAGUCUUUAUCAUCCAUGCCCCCCAAAUAGUCCACUUGUUCAAUGAGAAGUGGCCUGGUCCUGAUUCAUCUCAGGGCAACACUACCAUGCUCUUACCAGUCAUUGGUUAGUAAAUGGCUGUGUAACUUAAUUUUGAUUGAUGAAGAGGCCAUGCAAGUUUGUGACAGGCUUCAGGAACAUUCUUCUUUUCUCUUGAGAAUCACAGAAACCCACUAAAUGUCUCACAUUUAAGCCAGGAAGUUAUCACCCCUAAGUACUGUGAACCAUGGUAACACCCUGAGAAGAUCAACCUUAUGCCAACACUGUACAAAGUAAAGCACAAAGAUGAAAGGCAUGGAUGUUUGGCGGUGUCACUGAAUUGAUCUGCCCACCCAGAUGCCUACCUUUUCACUUGGUUUCUUAGAAUAUGAGCCAAUAAAAUCUGUUUAAACUGUAAUAAUUAGGUUUUCUACUUGUAGUGAAAAAAGCUUCCUUGUCUGAGAUAAGAAUUUUUUCUUUUUCCCUUUCCUUUCAAAAUGCUAAAUUAAGAGCUGGGGAUGUGGCUUAGUGGUAGAGCUCUUGCCUAGCAUGUGCAAGGCCCCAGGCUGAAUCCCCAGCAUUGGGAAAAAAAAAAAAAAACUGAAAUGAUGAAGAAUAAGCUAGAUUUCUUAGCAAAGCAUUUGAGAACCUUUUCUGCACCUUCUGUCUUUGUAAUCUUGCUCCACCAUGUCAUUUUGUAUUUUCUAUCAAGUUAAAUUUUCCAUGAAAUCAAAUUUUCCCUCCAAGAUCUGGAUCAAAAGACACUUCCUUGAAGAUAGAUUUUCAAAAUUAGUAUUUCUUCUUCUUUGUUGAGCUGAGAAUCAUAUCCAGGGCCUCACAUAUGUCAGGCAAUCAUUCUACCACUUAGCUACAUGCUCGGCCCCAAUAUUUCUUUUUUCUCUAUCUUUAUACAUGUUGCUUGUACCUCUCUAAGUCUGAGUCCUCCAAGAAUCAGAGCAGCCAAGAUAGAAUUAUACUACAACAAAUUUUUAUUAGAGGAAAUGUCUCUAAGAGGAAAUGGAGAGGGAGUUGGAACAGGCUACAGGAGCCAUCGGGCAAUGCAAGAAUAACCUCAACGGAGGGAGGAAAAGAGGGAGGGAGGAAAGAACAAACUUAGUUGGGUGCAGUCCAGUUCCCAAGAAUGUUCAGGAAGUCUGGUGGGGAAUCCUCAAGACAGUCUUUUCAGAAGAGGCUUAAAUGAGCUACCUUAGUAUCAUUGCUACUCUCUGUUCUUGGUGGGGAACAGCAGGUAGGAAGUGUGGCCCAGCACAGAAGCUGUCCUGGCUGUCCACACAGCAGGGGGCCUUGGUCACUUAUAUUCUACAGCCAGAGGACUGGGCAAUGCUUGCUCAUGACUGCUGCACCAUCGUUCCUUCACUCUGCCCUAAACUCUAUUUGAUUGGUGUAUCUAUAUCAAUAAAUAAAAAAUGUAAUCUUUCAUGUGGAUUAUAAACUACUGAAGAGCAGGACCCUUUCUGCCCACUUACAUGUUUCCCAUAGUAGGAUCUCAGCAGAGUAUUGCCAUGUUACUGAACUGAACUCUGGAAUGUAUUGGCUCAGGUCUCUGUUUGCAAUUCCUUAGGUAAGGAAUAGGGAUAAUAUCCCCUUAAAACAAGUCCCCAAGUACUUGCUCCCAGAAGUUGUAAGAUACUAUUUCAUGAUUAAUAUUGUUUUUAAAAACAUUUAGUCACAUUCACCUGGUAACCCAAUGGGCCUCCAUAUUAAAAUUCAGUUUUGACAUUUCUCUGUGAGUGAUAUGGCAAAGUGAAGCAUCUGCUGAAUGAAACCUCAUUUUUCACAAACUUGAUCCCCAAGAUGAGUUCAUUAUCGAACUUUGGGGUUAUAGUUAUAAUGUAUUUUAGUUCUUAAUUGGGGAAAUAAUUUAUUCCAGUAUGAUAUGCUCUACUAUUUCCUCAACAUUCCUUUUUAGGUAAUAUGCAAUGGAUCUUUCAGGCACAUUUUUCAGAUAAAAGUAGGAUUAUUAGUGGCUCUUAUGGGAGGAGAAUAUUAGAAAAAUCCGUGAUUAUUUGAAAUAUAAUAUGCAAUAUUAAGCAAGGAGGAAAAACAUGUAAAUAUAAGCAUUUUGUCAUGACAUACUACAUACAGUGCUCUCUGUAUUGCUAAUUUUACUGUCUAUGGUUAAGAUAAAAUAAUAUCGGGGGCUGGGAUUGUGGCUCAGUGGUAGAGCACUUGUCUAGCACAUGUGAGACACUGAGUUUGAUCCUCAGUGUCAUGUAAAAAUAAAUGAAUACAUAAAAGAAAGGUAUAAAAAGAAAGAUAAAAUAAUAUCUAUCAUGAAAAUCAGUCAGGGUCCAAUAAAGAGACAGAAACUCCACAGUAACUUGGAAAGAGAGGACUUAAGUGUAAAUAAUUAUUUAUAGCAAAACAAACAGGGCCUAAAAUACAACUCUGAAGAAUUUCUGAAGGCUGAAGGAUGGCACUUAAUGAAGGAAGCCCUCCCUGUGACUAGGGCUCAGAGCUCUUGGAGCAGUAACUGCCUACUGGCUGGUGGAAAAGCUCACUGGGUUACAUAGGCUACAGCUUGCCUACAAGCAGUCUGGGGAGACUGUAGCAUGAACUCUGGGUUGAGACUGACAAGCUGGAAGCCUCCUGCCGAGGUGCCAGGAACUGGGGAAACUACCAGGUGGGGUGCUGAUGAGAUCUUCUGGGAAGCCGCCUGCAGGGGCAGCUGCUGUUGAACUCACUGGGAAGCCGGCUGGAUACUGGCUGAACUCACCAGAAAACCACUAGGAAGUCGCUUGUGCAAUAGGUUUCUUUUAAUUCUCUGGGCACCCAGGGAGCUCUCCAGAAUCUGGCUGUGAGGGUGUGCCACUGAAUUUGCAGAUGUGAGAUGACCUCUGUAAUCACCCCCAGGGCCUUUCAGAAGCUGCUACUGGGGGAAAGAAAGACCACUGGACUCAGCCCUGGAGAGCCAGGUUAGAAGACAGCAGAACCCAACAGGAAAUGGUCUCGAGAGGUGUUGUUACACUCCCUCCUGAAAAGCCACCUGGGGCACUUCUGGAACUCACCUCAAGGUGAGCAAUGCUUCUGAAAUUCCCUAAGGUGAGCUCCCCUGGCUAUCCUGCAGGCCAGCUCAGCAUUGCAGGAGCAAGAAUGCUGGAAGGUACACCAGAACCAGGAAGAGACAUCCCUUCCCCCUGCAGUGUCCCUCCAGCACCCUCUACUGACAGUGCCGAACAUCCUGCCCGCUGGCAAGAGACAAAUCACAAGCAGACAGUGAAGGAACAGAGAGGCAAUGAGUUAACUGUGCUUCUGUCAAAGUCACUAUCUUGUAUUGAAAUUCUGUCUUCACUCAUUCAUGUUUUCUACUGGGAGAUAUGUGUUUCAAAAAUAGAAUUAUUUUUAUAUUUUGUGUGUAGUAUAGUUCCUGGCAUGUGUGAUGUAUUUGCCAAACGUUUGUCAAAAUGUUGUUCUGAAUAUGUAUAUAUUGCCUCUUGUGCUAAAGGAUUCUCUUGGUCAUACAAGCACUAGGUAUUCCCAAAUUUAGUUUGCAUAAAGAGAGGCCAUUAUGUUCACUGUUUGUAUAUGAAAGGAAAAUGGCAAUGGUGUUGAUUAACACAUUGCACGUGUGUAGAGGCAGUUUUCUAAAUGGGCUUCGUGUGCUGUGUGUGUGGAAGUAGGGAUUGAACACAAGGCUGCUUUACCACUGAACUACCCCCUCAGCCUUUUUGUUUUUAUUUUUGAAACCGGGUUUUACUAAGUUGCCCAGGUUUGGCCUCAAAUUUGCAAUCUUCCUGCUUCAGCUUCCUGAGUUGUUGGGAUUACAGGCAUGUGCUACUGUAACUGGCUCUAAAUAAAUGUUUUGAAAUUUCAGUUGGUGUCCAUUGACUGAAAAUCCUCCAAAACAUUACUAGAGAGGAAACAAAUCCUCCCUUUUGAGAAGCAGAUUAUUUUAUUCAGAAAUUUACUGAAAAAAUGAAAAAAAAAGCCAGUAUACUAUACAAAACUGACAUUUAACCAGUUGACAUAGACUUUAUUAAUAUGGGAAAACAGGAUAAAAUAACUUCUCCACUAUAGAGCACAUGAUCAUUAUUUUUAUUUUUAUUACUUUUUUUAGAGAGAGAAUUUUUUAAUAUUUAUUUUUUUAAUUUUCGGCGGACACAACAUCUUUGUUUGUAUGUGGUGCUGAGGA
Ictidomys tridecemlineatus (thirteen-lined ground squirrel) is the source of this 6184-nucleotide non-coding RNA. The record is from RefSeq and is a predicted model, not a curated record. NCBI's taxonomy places the organism in Eukaryota, Metazoa, Chordata, Mammalia, Rodentia, Sciuridae.